GCGCCCAUAGCUCAGAAGGAUAGAGCGAACGGCUUCGAACCGUUAGGUCGCAGGUUCAAUUCCUGCUGGGCGCG
This 74-nucleotide transfer RNA is filed under the name Elusimicrobiota bacterium. Its description in RNAcentral is "Elusimicrobia bacterium (hot springs metagenome) tRNA-Arg". It matches the Rfam family "tRNA". From Rfam's summary of the family: Transfer RNA (tRNA) molecules are approximately 80 nucleotides in length. Their secondary structure includes four short double-helical elements and three loops (D, anti-codon, and T loops). Lineage: Bacteria; Pseudomonadati; Elusimicrobiota. The record is from RNAcentral.